UGGGGAAUUUUGGACAAUGGGCGCAAGCCUGAUCCAGCCAUGCCGCGUGCGGGAAGAAGGCCUUCGGGUUGUAAACCGCUUUUGUCAGGGAAGAAAUCUUCUGAGUUAAUACCUCGGGAGGAUGACGGUACCUGAAGAAUAAGCACCGGCUAACUACGUGCCAGCAGCCGCGGUAAUACGUAGGGUGCAAGCGUUAAUCGGAAUUACUGGGCGUAAAGCGUGCGCAGGCGGUUUUGUAAGACAGAGGUGAAAUCCCCGGGCUCAACCUGGGAACUGCCUUUGUGACUGCAAGGCUUGAGUGCGGCAGAGGGGGGAUGGAAUUCCGCGUGUAGCAGUGAAAUGCGUAGAUAUGCGGAGGAACACCGAUGGCGAAGGCAAUCCCCUGGGCCUGCACUGACGCUCAUGCACGAAAGCGUGGGGAGCAAAACAGGAUUAGAUACCCUGGUAGUCCACGCCCUAAACGAUGUCAACUGGUUGUUGGGAAGGUUCCUUCUCAGUAACGUAGCUAACGCGUGAAGUUGACCGCCUGGGGAGUACGGCCGCAAGGUUGAAACUUAAAUGAAUUGACGGGGUCAUAGCUGUUUCCUG
RNAcentral lists this ribosomal RNA (588 nucleotides) under uncultured bacterium. RNAcentral's name for it is "partial 16S ribosomal RNA". It matches the Rfam family "Bacterial small subunit ribosomal RNA", at positions 355 to 1376 of the family's 1533-position model. The record is from RNAcentral.